RNAcentral lists this long non-coding RNA (1043 nucleotides) under Selaginella moellendorffii. RNAcentral's name for it is "long non-coding RNA (SMOE_LNC000258)". Lineage: Eukaryota; Viridiplantae; Streptophyta; Lycopodiopsida; Selaginellales; Selaginellaceae. The record is from RNAcentral.
UCAAGUUCCCGGCCGUCUUGAACUUGAGCGUCCUUUCCUUUUACGACGCAACUGGAAAGAGCUGGGCAUCAGGAUCAAUGAGUUCACAAGACUACGCGCUUGACUACGACGAUGCGAAUGUGUUGGGGAGACUUACGCUGGACGACGAUGGCAAUCUCGGGAUCUACAGCUUCGGCCCGAAGAACAAGAGUGGCUCCUGGAGCGUCGUCUGGCAAGCCGUCAUGCUCGAGUGCGACAUCUUUGGAACAUGUGGACCUUUCGCUCUCUGCACCUACAGGCCCACAAAAACUUGCAACUGUGCUCCUGUCCAAACGACGAAUCAAAGGGAUGUGACUACGACAUACCUCUGGGAGCUUGUCAAAACUCCCCAAUCUCGGUGAAGCUCGUCCAGGUGAAUCGAGCAGACUACUACUUCAACGAUUACAACUUCGACUCGACCAUCAAGUCGCUCGAAGAGUUAGGCUCGGGAGGAUUCGGGAGCGUGUAUAGAGGAAACAUGGCCAUGAAGAACAUCACCACCGUGAACCAGGCUGAGAAGCAAUUCAAGGCCGAGGUGAGCACGAUUGGAAGAGUACACCACGUCAACUUGGCUCCGCCUCCUCGGCUACUGCGCCGAGGGAGACCACCACCUCCUCGUCUACGAGUUCAUGCCAAACGGUUCUCUCGAUCACCACCUCUCGGCCUCGUCCUCAUUCGCCGCCUCGCAAGAGAUUUUCUCAACCUGGGAGACACGACACUCAAUCGCGCUGGAGAUUGCCAAAGGAUUGACAUACCUCCUCGUCCACUGCGAUAUCAAGCCACAAAACGUGAUGCUGGACGAGAGCUCUGGCCAAAGGUGUCCAACUUUGGGCUGGCGAGGAUGAUGAGAAAAGAAUCGAUGAGCAUCAACACCGUGCAAGGAACCAGGGGAUACCUCGCUCCAGAGUGGCUCGAGAGCCAAUCCAUCACCCCCAAGGCCGAGGAUCCAGGAUCCAGGCCAGCGAUGAGCCGCGUGGUGCAGAUCCUGGAGGGCAAAGCGGAGGCGCCGGCGCCGCCAUUUCCAG